GACGAGGAUUGCAAUAGAUUAAGACCACUGAGCUACAGAGGUGCAGAUGUAUUUGUCUUAGUUUUCUCCUUAGUUAGUCGAGCGAGCUAUGAGAAUGUACUAAAAAAGUGGACCCCUGAACUUCAAAAUUAUGCCCCAGGUGUCCCUGUGGUUCUAGUUGGCACAAAAUUGGAUCUUCGUAAGGACAAACAUUAUCUGGCUGAUCAUCCUGGUUUGCUUCCUCUUAACACUGCACAGGUGUGUUUCACUCACUGGUGGUAAAUGUAAUAGAUUUAUCAGUGAUUUAUUAUCUUAAUCAUCCUAUCAAAACAGGGUGAGGAGCUCCGCAAACAGAUUAGUGCUGCUUAUUACAUCGAGUGCAGCUCAAAAACACAGCAGAAUGUGAAAGCAGUUUUUGAUGCUGCAAUCAAGGUUGUCAUCAAGCCACCGCAGAAACAGAAGGAGAAGAAGAAAAAGCCUAGUCGAGGAUGUCUGAUAAACAUCUUCUGCAGGAACUUUGUGCCUCCCAAGUGAAACCGAUUGCUUUCCUUCAAACCAAAAGCUUGUGCUCCUCAUGGUACCGCUAUUCCAGUGUGUCUUCGCCUAGAUAUUCUUUUUAGUCAACAGGAUCAAGUGAGUUUGCUUCUAAUGGAUUACUCAGCAUUACUUCUCCCUCAAAAUCGCACUGUGGUUGUUUACAUUUACGGUCUACUUAUAGUAAAAGAAUAUAUAUUCGACUGCUAAUUUACUAUAUUGAUUUCUUGUAUAGAGUUUAAAACUUAAGUGGAUUUAUGGUUUCUUGUACUGUGCUU
Molecule: long non-coding RNA, 791 nt
Organism: Hibiscus syriacus
Lineage: Eukaryota; Viridiplantae; Streptophyta; Magnoliopsida; Malvales; Malvaceae
Exons: 5
Source: RefSeq, a predicted model, not a curated record